Unclassified non-coding RNA from Callithrix jacchus (white-tufted-ear marmoset), 116 nucleotides. It matches the Rfam family "Metazoan signal recognition particle RNA". From Rfam's summary of the family: The signal recognition particle (SRP) is a universally conserved ribonucleoprotein. It is involved in the co-translational targeting of proteins to membranes. Lineage: Eukaryota; Metazoa; Chordata; Mammalia; Primates; Cebidae. The record is from Ensembl.
GCUGGGCGUGGUGGCGCAUGCCUGUAAUCCCAGCACUUUGGAGGCUAAGGUGGGCGUAUCACCUGAGGUUAGGAGUUCAAGACCAGCCUGACUGACAUGGUGAAACCCCAUCUUAA